RNAcentral lists this long non-coding RNA (627 nucleotides) under Penaeus japonicus. RNAcentral's name for it is "uncharacterized LOC122259646". Lineage: Eukaryota; Metazoa; Arthropoda; Malacostraca; Decapoda; Penaeidae. The record is from RNAcentral.
GUAUAUGUGAGCGUUUGUAUGUAUAUCUGUGAGUGUGCGCUUGUAUAUGUGUGUUUGAGUGUGUGUUUGACUGUGUGGUCGCGUUUUUGAGAAUCAUCCAAAUGUGUGUGUUAGUAUAUAACAAAAUGUUUUUUAUGAAUUGAGUGAACAAGAUAUAAAAGCAAUACUGAUAUUGAAAUUGCUUCGUGUGGAAUGCGAAAUCUCAAAUACUAAUAAUUCUCAAUAUUUGACUGUUUUUUCUGUUUUUAAUUAGCAUUAUUGCCAUUAUCCUUCUUAUUAUUAAUAUCCUUUUAAUUAAAGGUAUUAUCUUCAUAAGAGCUCGUUACCUCCAGCACCAACAGCCAACGGGAUGACAUCCCAGGCAAGCAAUGCGGAACUUCUUGCUCUGGUCGAAGCAGGUGACGCCGAAGGGAUGCAGACCGCCCUCGGCUCCCUCGCUGCAGACGCCCUCUCGACUUUCUUCGGUAAGACAGCAAAAGCAACCCUGGUCGAGAGGCCAUUUCGACAUUUUCUUGUUGGCAUGUGUGUGAGGUAGAAUUGAUUGGGUCUUGCCUUUUGAUGGCCAGAGAUGCUGAUGACGUUUUAAAAUGUGGAAUUUGAAUAUGGAAAUAGAAUAUGAACUACCAA